RNAcentral lists this ribosomal RNA (517 nucleotides) under Bacillus cereus. Its description in RNAcentral is "bacterial SSU rRNA". It matches the Rfam family "Bacterial small subunit ribosomal RNA", at positions 65 to 561 of the family's 1533-position model. Lineage: Bacteria; Bacillati; Bacillota; Bacilli; Caryophanales; Bacillaceae. The record is from RNAcentral.
GGCUCAGUAAGUCGUAACAAGGUAACCUCUGGAUUAGCGGCGGACGGGUGAGUAACACGUGGGUAACCUGCCCAUAAGACUGGGAUAACUCCGGGAAACCGGGGCUAAUACCGGAUAACAUUUUGAACCGCAUGGUUCGAAAUUGAAAGGCGGCUUCGGCUGUCACUUAUGGAUGGACCCGCGUCGCAUUAGCUAGUUGGUGAGGUAACGGCUCACCAAGGCAACGAUGCGUAGCCGACCUGAGAGGGUGAUCGGCCACACUGGGACUGAGACACGGCCCAGACUCCUACGGGAGGCAGCAGUAGGGAAUCUUCCGCAAUGGACGAAAGUCUGACGGAGCAACGCCGCGUGAGUGAUGAAGGCUUUCGGGUCGUAAAACUCUGUUGGUAGGGAAGAACAAGUGGUAGUUGAAUAAGCUGGCACCUUGACGGUACCUAACCAGAAAGCCACGGCUAACUACGUGCCAGCAGCCGCGGUGAUACGUAGGUGUGAGGCGGUAUCCGAAAUUAUUGGGCGU